GACGAACGCUGGCGGCGUGCUUAACACAUGCAAGUCGAACGGAGUGGCGAACGGGUGAGUAACACGUGGGUGACCUGCCCUGCACUUCGGGAUCAGCCUGGGAAACUGGGUCUAAUACCGGAUAGUGUGGGAUGGGCCGGCGGCCUAUCAGCUUGUUGGUGGGGUAAUGGCCUACCAAGGCGGCGACGGGUAGCCGGCCUGAGAGGGUGGACGGCCACAGGGGGACUGAGACACGGCCCAGUAGGUGACGGGGGGCAGCAGGGGGGAAUCUUGUACAGUGGUCGGACGCGUGAUGCAGAGACGCCGCGUGGGUGAUGACGGCCUUCGGGUUGUAAACUCCUUUCACCAUAGACGCGGUAGAUGGAGAAGAAGCACCGGCUAACUACGUGCCAGCAGCCGCGGUAAUAC
RNAcentral lists this ribosomal RNA (408 nucleotides) under uncultured bacterium. RNAcentral's name for it is "partial 16S ribosomal RNA". It matches the Rfam family "Bacterial small subunit ribosomal RNA", at positions 28 to 526 of the family's 1533-position model. The record is from RNAcentral.